This 236-nucleotide ribosomal RNA is filed under the name uncultured Staphylococcus sp. Its description in RNAcentral is "partial 16S ribosomal RNA". It matches the Rfam family "Bacterial small subunit ribosomal RNA", at positions 104 to 334 of the family's 1533-position model. Lineage: Bacteria; Bacillati; Bacillota; Bacilli; Caryophanales; Staphylococcaceae. The record is from RNAcentral.
GGGUGAGUAACACGCGGAUAACCUACCUAUAAGACUGGGAUAACUUCGGGAAACCGGAGCUAAUACCGGAUAAUAUAUUGAACCGCAUGGUUCAAUAGUGAAAGACGGUUUUGCUGUCACUUAUAGAUGGAUCCGCGCCGCAUUAGCUAGUUGGUAAGGUAACGGCUUACCAAGGCAACGAUGCGUAGCCGACCUGAGAGGGUGAUCGGCCACACUGGAACUGAGACACGGUCCAG